Molecule: transfer RNA, 65 nt
Filed under: Vesperus conicicollis
Lineage: Eukaryota; Metazoa; Arthropoda; Insecta; Coleoptera; Cerambycidae
Also listed under: 1 other name
Description: tRNA-Thr
Source: RNAcentral
GUUUUAAUAAUUUAAAUAAAAAUACUGGUCUUGUAAAUCAGAAAUAAGAAAAAUCUUUUAAAACU